Felis catus (domestic cat) is the source of this 85-nucleotide non-coding RNA. NCBI's taxonomy places the organism in Eukaryota, Metazoa, Chordata, Mammalia, Carnivora, Felidae. The record is from Rfam.
GCCUGGAUGGCUCAGUUGAUUGGGCGUCUGACUUCGGCUCAGGUCAUGAUCACACACUCUGUGAGUUCGAGUCCCACGUCAGGCU